AGACUGUACUAGGCGACAGCCAAGCUACAAGAAGAAAGGUACUAGAAAGUGUUCUUAAAAAUGUAAAUUCAGAAUUCUACUUAACAGCGAUUUUUAAUUAUCAAAAUUUCAAUGAAUUUUUUAAUAUCUAAAACUCAUCCUAUUAUUUUCUUCCAGCACUGGAAUCAGCAAACAUAACAUACAUUUUUUAACUUUAAAUAGUACAUAACAAAGGAGAUUCAAGCAACUCAACAAAAUUUUAAAAAGAAAAAUUAGACUACAUGGUGAGCUUCAAACAUAAACAGUUGGAAUAAAUAUAAGGACAAAAGAAAAACAAUAAACGUGCAUAUGUUAAAUAAGAUUCUAAGUAGAAAUACCUGUAUUUUUACAUAAAGCAUAUAAAUGAUGAAUAAUCAAAAUACUCAUGCAUAUCCACUCAAAUUAUACAUAUCUAAAACUAUCACAAAAAAAGUAAAAAUAGUGAAAUCAUAGAAGGGCACUAGAUAAAUAUCACUCAAAAGCAAAAAACAAUAAUGUAAAAACUUCAGUGAAUUUUAAAAAAUACACGACUCCACAAACUUGGAGUAGAAAUCUUGCCAUAACUGGUCCUAAGUUUUAGACCUGAGUCAGACGACAAUAACUUCUAUCUUCAGAUACCGGUUUGAGUGAUUAUGUUCAAACUAGGGCGAAAUGCAGAACUGAAGAAAAGCAUCUCUUAUUAACAUGAUGAGAAAUAGUAUAAAAAAUAACUGAAACUAAGACACAUAGGGGCGAAAGCAACUUGGACCACUUAGCAACUCACUUAUACGUCUCUCUAAAAAAGCAA
This 805-nucleotide long non-coding RNA is filed under the name Bos taurus (domestic cattle). RNAcentral's name for it is "long non-coding RNA NONBTAT014196". Lineage: Eukaryota; Metazoa; Chordata; Mammalia; Artiodactyla; Bovidae. The record is from RNAcentral.